The submitters of this non-coding RNA (59 nucleotides) gave its source as unclassified sequences. The record is from Rfam.
GUAAGAAUAAGAAUGUAUCGAAUAAGUCUAUAUAAGUAGAAUCUACCAGGUGGUAGAAA